UAGCCAAACUCUAAAAUUCUGCCCAACAA
RNAcentral lists this non-coding RNA (29 nucleotides) under Mus musculus (house mouse). The record is from RNAcentral. Lineage: Eukaryota; Metazoa; Chordata; Mammalia; Rodentia; Muridae.